UGUGCCGAGACCUCGCCAGGAGCCCCGCUGUUGGUGUCCCUUGUGGGAUGCUGUUUGGCCAGGCUGAAAGGCUGCCUGUCUUCAGCACUUGGUCCAGAAUGAAGCCAUGGGAAACAGCUGGGCGGGAGGCCUUGUCUGCUGUCCUUGCUGCUCAAAAAUACCAGGACUUUUUAGCUGAUUUGCUUUGGGCCAUACCCAAGUGACCCUUCUCUCCUUCCUUCCUGCCCAGGAAGAAGAAAUGCCAUGAAGAUCUGAGCUGCAUCUGUUUGGAUGGGGACCACUGUCAGGAUUGCUGGCUCCACAAUAGGAUCUCAGCAACAUUGGUUACAUAUGUGGGUAAUGGAAAACAACUGUGCUUUGUGAGCUUGAAAUACAAUUAACUGAUGCUCUAAAAGGUGCAGAGAUGCAGAGCAAUAGAAGGGGAGGACGGGGAUGAGGUUUUGCUGUCCAUAUUUCACCAGAGCGUACACAGCAUAUAUAAGAACUCAAGGAGAAGCAGUGAGACAGGAGGCUGACUGCCAUGAGAUUUCACAGAAUCACAGAGGGGUUAAUGUGAAGGGAGCUCUGUGUGAAGGUCCAGCCCCCUGCACAAGCAGGGCCACCUCAAGCUAGUUGCCCAGGACCGUGUCCAGAUGGCUUUUGGAUAUCUCCAAGGUGGGAGCUGGUAUUUCUUCAAUUUAGGUGUAUCAGGCAACAUGUGCCUCUGAGAGACCACAAAUUAACAUGAUAGUCAAAACAAUGCAUUUUUUUAAACUUGCCUUUUAAAUCAGCUCCUGCUUAUGCUUGAUGUGAACAUCCACCCUCUAAGCCCAUGUCCCAGCACUACCACUUGGCUGGGACAGUGUAAUGAUGGGAUGCCCUCUCCCAGGUUUAACCAUGCAGGGUGGCCCUCAGCGAACCCUCUCGUCGGUCAGCGGGCGCAAAAACCUCAGGGCUGGCUCAGCCAUUGCUCUGGCAAACACCUACGUGGAGGGAUCACCUUCCUGGCCUCCCUGCUGCUCAUGGAGGCAUGAUUAGAGAAGAUGCUUGGCCUCUGGGUGAGUGAAGCUGGCUGAGAUGGGCCUUCCCUACAGCUGCCAGUGAGCUGGAUGGGCAUUUUCUCUCCAUGAAACUGGGUACCCCAAAGGUGGGUGCCCUAACACCAAAUGGCAUUGCUGCCCGGCUCCCUGCAGCCGACAGCAGCAGCCAGCAAGGGUGAAGGCACCUGUGUGGGGUGGCUUGUUCCUGAUUUAUGGAACAUUACCCCUAAAGAGGUCACAUUUCCCUGGCAGCCACAAGACCACAAGCUUUAAGCUGGGUUUUGCCUGAGAUGCAUAGUUUCCAACCCAGGAGCGCCUUCCAGGAGGUGGCUUGAGGCAACGGCUCCCCCAGGAGCUCCCCCUCCUCUCUGAGGAUCCCACCCCUUGGGACUCCUUUGGUGCCCCAUUUUUAUGUUUUACCAUGUGUGCUUAAUGUUGUCUGAUGCCUCCUGCAUCCCAUGAAGAGAGAUGAAAUCUUUGUGGAUUAAAUUUUCCUGACUGCUCUUUAAAAACAGCCUCUCUCAGGUGCUUUACAUCUGACGUACUUUGGAAAUAUUCCUCCUCCUCCUCUCUACUGUAAGAUUAAUCUCACCUACCCUUAGACACUAUUGUGUGAAGGUUGGCACCUCCCUUUCAAGAUGGGGGGAAAAAGGCUAUGCCCAUAGUGUGAGUCACCUGAUUUAUUUUAGACAACUACAUUAGGAUGAGAUGAACAGCACCUGAAAGUGCCAGCUUCUCUCCAUUAAGGAGAAAGGGAUUCCAAGCUCCCUGGUAUAAACAUUAGGUAUCAACAUGACAUGUAUAUGUGCCUGGGCAGAACACCUCUGUCCUCAUGCCUCACAUCCAGACUGUCGGUGGGAGAGAGAUCUGGUGGAAUUCUCCUCCACCAUGAAGGUCCUGGGUAGCUCAAAGAUUCCAAAACUACAGCCAUGUUUUACUUCAAGAUAUGAAAGUGUAAUGUAAUUACAGGUUGCUGAGUCUUUCCAGACUUCCAAGGCUUAUGUUCCUCUCCAAGUGUGGGCUGAAGGUUACAUGCAGUCUACUCAAAGGUCUGUUUUGCUGUUUCUGUUUUGUGUAUAUGAGAUUUAAAUAUUUUUUAAAAAAAGGUGUGCUGGUCUUAUUUUUAAAUUCUGGGGAUGCCGCUGUGCACGCUGAAUUCUAAGAAAAUCUUUUUGUCUGUUGCUGCUCCUGUGCUGAGAAAUACAUUGACUUGACUGAGCAUUUAUAAUUAAAAUAUCUGAUAUUCAAAGCUUCCAAAGACUCACCAAGUGACAGUCAGACACACCUGGCUGAAGCUGGA
Falco peregrinus (peregrine falcon) is the source of this 2319-nucleotide long non-coding RNA. RefSeq lists it as uncharacterized. The record is from RefSeq and is a predicted model, not a curated record. The transcript has 5 exons. Lineage: Eukaryota; Metazoa; Chordata; Aves; Falconiformes; Falconidae.